Molecule: long non-coding RNA, 1633 nt
Organism: Clupea harengus (Atlantic herring)
Lineage: Eukaryota; Metazoa; Chordata; Actinopteri; Clupeiformes; Clupeidae
Source: Ensembl
GAAAAUAAAACACAAUGCACCGCAAUAACGGGAUAGAAACCUUGUGGCUUCAAAAUAGGUGGGAAGAACACAACAAGAUGCACCUGAAAGCGCACAAGACAACCCUGCAAUUUAUGCCACGGCUGGUGUGGAGGAAGGACAGACGAGCAAUGCAUUCUGGGCCAGUGACGUCCAUCACGACCAAGGUGACAGGCUGUCACACCGACUGUCAGUGCAAUGGAUGAGCCUGCGCGUGUCAGGAAGAUUGCUGAUGUCCUGGCCAAGCUUAGUCCAGCAGUCCUCCUGACACUGCGUGGUUUGAAUACCGAUAGUGGAAGUACCUGUUGCGAAGCCUCCUUUGAAGGAAUAAACCAAUUCAAAGUAAACAACACUCUUCUGCAUCCUAUUAUUGUGGAGUGGUUAUGAAGUGUGUGAGGCCUGGCAGAAGGAAUAUGAAAUGGAGAGCAGCCUUGAAGCAGUUCACUCAGAACCGUUUUCUACUUUAAACAAGGCUGGAGAUAAGCUGUGGCGUUCCAAUGGGAUUUUCUCUUCUCCUUUGCCCAAACGGACACAGAGAUGAGAGCACAGAUAGCAGACGGGAGAGGUGAAAGGUGGACCAGAGAUACUGAACCCUGGGGUUUGUGAUGACUAUCUCUGGCAGGACUGCCGGAUAUAAUCCUGAGUGGUCUAGUCUGUGGCGCAGUUAAGAACUGCUUUGUGUAUGACUGACAAAUGACCUGGGUGAGCGUUGCAGUGAUUACAUCAACUGGAGGAUGAGGAGGAGGAGAGCAGGAGCAGGCAGAAGCGAGUCUGAGAGGAGGACAGCAGGGCUGCAGGGGAGGUUAUGCAAGGCUGCUGUUUACUGGCUCUGAGGAAUGCUGAGUGACAGAGUGGACAAAAUACCUAAUUUUUUUCACGACGGCCAUGCUGGAGCUCCCAAUGACAAGACUAUCAAUGGUGGAGACAUGUGCCUGUUUGACAUGGGUGGAGAGUACUACUGCAACUCUUCCGACAGCUGCUCUGCUCCUGCUCUUCUACAGCAGGACUUUCUCAGAGGCUGUGCUCAAAUCCUGCCAAGCUGCCAUGGCUGCCACAAAACCAGAAUAACCCCCCUCGCCCUUUCCUGGAUUGAGGAAAACAUUGCGGUGACCGCAGAUGGGAUCGAGUUGCUCACCUCCAUCCCACACACCAUCAAGGAGAUCAAGGAGUUCAUGGAGGAGGCCCAGGGUGACCCCAAGUCAUUCAGCCCCGUCAGCCAGAAGCUCUGAGAGGACAGGCUGGAGCUGCGGUUUCAUCCCAAAUCCACGUUUUAGAGCUUGUCUGAAAUGGGAAGUUAGCUUUGAUUUCCAGAUCUAUACAACGGUCUGAUAUGCAUGCUAACUUUUAAAUAUAAUUUGUUGGGCAUCAGUGACUGGUCUGGUUGUCUGAGAUUGUAUAUCCUCAGACAGCUUAACAUUUAAAGAUCACAUUAUAUUUUGAUCACUUUAGCAUCAAAUGCUCUUAAAACAAUGCAGGCUACCUGCAAUGGCAUGCAUCAUUGUUAGCAGAUUAUCUACAGAGAUUGCUGAAUCGGGUCUUUGAGCAGGUCCAAAGAAUAGAAUAUUGUGAUUCACUUGCUUUUUAGAAAUAUAAGAUACAUGUUUGCAUGGAAGUA